This 84-nucleotide transfer RNA is filed under the name Acetatifactor sp. RNAcentral describes it as "tRNA-Leu". It matches the Rfam family "tRNA". Rfam says of the family: Transfer RNA (tRNA) molecules are approximately 80 nucleotides in length. Their secondary structure includes four short double-helical elements and three loops (D, anti-codon, and T loops). Further hydrogen bonds mediate the characteristic L-shaped molecular structure. tRNAs have two regions of fundamental functional importance: the anti-codon, which is responsible for specific mRNA codon recognition, and the 3' end, to which the tRNAs corresponding amino acid is attached (by aminoacyl-tRNA synthetases). tRNAs cope with the degeneracy of the genetic code in two manners: having more than one tRNA (with a specific anti-codon) for a particular amino acid; and 'wobble' base-pairing, i.e. permitting non-standard base-pairing at the 3rd anti-codon position. The record is from RNAcentral. Lineage: Bacteria; Bacillati; Bacillota; Clostridia; Lachnospirales; Lachnospiraceae.
GCUGGUGUGGCGGAAUAGGCAGACGCAAGGGACUUAAAAUCCCUCGGUGUAAACAACGUGCAGGUUCAAGUCCGGCCACCAGCA